GACGAACGCUGGCGGCGUGCUUAAUACAUGCAAGUCGAGCGAGGUUACUGUUUCAGAUCCCUUCGGGGUGAAGAAGCUUUAACCUAGCGGCGGACGGGUGAGUAACGCGUGGGUAACCUACCCCAAAGUCCGGGAUAACAGCGGGAAACCGCUGCUAAUACCGGAUGUCUUUACCUUGGGGCAUCUUGAGGUAAAGAAAGGUAACGCUUUGGGAUGGGCCCGCGUCCCAUUAGCUAGUUGGUGAGGUAACGGCUCACCAAGGCGACGAUGGGUAGCCGGCCUGCGAGGGUGGACGGCCACACUGGGACUGAGACACGGCCCAGACUCUUACGGGAGGCAGCAGUAGGGAAUAUUGCGCAAUGGACGGAAGUCUGACGCAGCGACGCCGCGUGAGCGAUGAAGGUCUUCGGAUCGUAAAGCUCUGUCCUUGGGGAAGAAGGUCUUCGGACUUGACGGUACCCAAGAAGAAAGCCCCGGCUAACUACGUGCCAGCAGCCGCGGUAAUACGUA
This 510-nucleotide ribosomal RNA is filed under the name uncultured bacterium. RNAcentral describes it as "bacterial SSU rRNA". It matches the Rfam family "Bacterial small subunit ribosomal RNA", at positions 28 to 529 of the family's 1533-position model. The record is from RNAcentral.